Molecule: ribosomal RNA, 852 nt
Filed under: Staphylococcus aureus
Lineage: Bacteria; Bacillati; Bacillota; Bacilli; Caryophanales; Staphylococcaceae
Description: partial 23S ribosomal RNA
Rfam family: Bacterial large subunit ribosomal RNA
Source: RNAcentral
CCCAGUAAACGGCGGCCGUAACUAUAACGGUCCUAAGGUAGCGAAAUUCCUUGUCGGGUAAGUUCCGACCCGCACGAAAGGCGUAACGAUUUGGGCACUGUCUCAACGAGAGACUCGGUGAAAUCAUAGUACCUGUGAAGAUGCAGGUUACCCGCGACAGGACGGAAAGACCCCGUGGAGCUUUACUGUAGCCUGAUAUUGAAAUUCGGCACAGCUUGUACAGGAUAGGUAGGAGCCUUUGAAACGUGAGCGCUAGCUUACGUGGAGGCGCUGGUGGGAUACUACCCUAGCUGUGUUGGCUUUCUAACCCGCACCACUUAUCGUGGUGGGAGACAGUGUCAGGCGGGCAGUUUGACUGGGGCGGUCGCCUCCUAAAAGGUAACGGAGGCGCUCAAAGGUUCCCUCAGAAUGGUUGGAAAUCAUUCAUAGAGUGUAAAGGCAUAAGGGAGCUUGACUGCGAGACCUACAAGUCGAGCAGGGUCGAAAGACGGACUUAGUGAUCCGGUGGUUCCGCAUGGAAGGGCCAUCGCUCAACGGAUAAAAGCUACCCCGGGGAUAACAGGCUUAUCUCCCCCAAGAGUUCACAUCGACGGGGAGGUUUGGCACCUCGAUGUCGGCUCAUCGCAUCCUGGGGCUGUAGUCGGUCCCAAGGGUUGGGCUGUUCGCCCAUUAAAGCGGUACGCGAGCUGGGUUCAGAACGUCGUGAGACAGUUCGGUCCCUAUCCGUCGUGGGCGUAGGAAAUUUGAGAGGAGCUGUCCUUAGUACGAGAGGACCGGGAUGGACAUACCUCUGGUGUACCAGUUGUCGUGCCAACGGCAUAGCUGGGUAGCUAUGUGUGGACGGGAUAAGUG